RNAcentral lists this long non-coding RNA (238 nucleotides) under Olea europaea (common olive). RNAcentral describes it as "long non-coding RNA (OEUR_LNC005607)". Lineage: Eukaryota; Viridiplantae; Streptophyta; Magnoliopsida; Lamiales; Oleaceae. The record is from RNAcentral.
AAUUUUUUAUCAUAUAAGUUCUUUGCAAUGUUGUAAAGAACUUUCAUCCCCAAAACUCUUCGGGAUUUUAUCCAUGAUUUAUUGAUUUUAGGCAAUGGUUUAUUAUUUCGGCCAACUUCAAUCUGGAAAUCUCGGCCAACAUAUCCAAUUGUGAUAAUAUGUUCAGCAGGAUAGUAUAUCCUUCUAUCAACCUCGGGACUUAUUGAAUAAAAUUUGAUAUAAAUCGAUCUCCCUUGGG